RNAcentral lists this long non-coding RNA (1038 nucleotides) under Ananas comosus (pineapple). Its description in RNAcentral is "long non-coding RNA (ACOM_LNC007593)". Lineage: Eukaryota; Viridiplantae; Streptophyta; Magnoliopsida; Poales; Bromeliaceae. The record is from RNAcentral.
GAAUAUAAGAUUUAUGCUUCUUCGGAGGGUUCACAUGUAGCCGUGCUCGUGAUAAAAAAGUAGUUUUUUGCAUCAGCUCUUUCAAAUUUUUUUUUUAGGGUUCUAUCAAAUUUUUAUUUGCACAAAUGACUCUCUUCCUACUACGUGAGCAUCAAGUUGGAUAGAAGAAGACAAUGAAUACGGUGAUUCAGUCAUCAUAUCACCAUCAUGUUUAAACAUCAAAUUAUCGUAUUUAUAUUCACACUCUAGCCUUUAUUAUUCGACUUAGGGGCAAUGAGAAUUAAAAAAAUACAUUAAAGGAUGGGCGCCAUUUAUUAAAAAAGAAAAGAAGGAAGAGAGACUAAAUGCAAAACAAAAAUAAAGGAGUAAACUUCAAAUACCCCUAUGUAGUUUCGCAUUUUUUUUAUUUUACUACCAUGUGAUUUAAAGUGUAUUAAUUUAGUACUCGUGGUUUUAUUUUUAUCUUUUCAUCAGAUUUUUUUCGUUAAAUCAGUGACGAAGCUAAAACUAAAAGGUAUUUAAGUAAAUACUCGAUAAGCUAUAGGUAGGGUAUUUAAAGUUUUUUAUAUAUAAUUUAACGAAAUAUUAACGGAGGAGCUGACGAAAAGAAAAAAAUAAAACCACUCAUCUUGCCCUUGUUAGGUAAGACGCCAACAGCAUGGGCCCUCCCGCUUAAAGGGCUCUAUUCGGUCUCCACCGAAGUCGUAGAGUCUAUAGGUUCGAUAACCUUCUCUCAAGAUUCCACCAAGUCAUCGGUAUCGUCAGCAAUCUACUCUUAUUUUUUGGUGUCAAAGAGCGAGUUCCUGUCUUUUGUCUUGCCCAAAAACCUUUUCUCAUUGAAGAAAGACUCUCCUGCGGCAAGGCAGUCCAGCUGCUUUCUUUAUCUCGCUUGCCGCGUGAAGCUUCGGAGCCCCCGGGGGUUUGAUACUAAAUUGAUACACUUUAAAUCAUAUGAUACUAAAAUGAGAAAAAUGUAAAAUCACAUAGGUGGUAUUUGAAUUUACCCAAAAUAAAAAACAAAAAAGUGAAAAUUUUGAU